UCGAGAAUCUUCGGCAAUGAGCGCAAGCUUGACCGAGCGACGCCGCGUGCGGGAUGAAGGCCUUCGGGUUGUAAACCGCUGUCAGAGGGGACGAAGUGCUAGUGGGUACUCUCAUUAGCUUGACUGAUCCUCAAAGGAAGGGUGGGCUAAGUUCGUGCCAGCAGCCGCGGUAAGACGUACCACCCGAACGUUAUUCGGAUUUACUGGGCUUAAAGAGUCCGUAGGCGGCCAAGUAAGUUGGAUGUGAAAU
This 250-nucleotide ribosomal RNA is filed under the name uncultured bacterium. RNAcentral describes it as "partial 16S ribosomal RNA". It matches the Rfam family "Bacterial small subunit ribosomal RNA", at positions 355 to 600 of the family's 1533-position model. The record is from RNAcentral.